This 500-nucleotide ribosomal RNA is filed under the name uncultured Myrionecta. Its description in RNAcentral is "bacterial SSU rRNA". It matches the Rfam family "Eukaryotic small subunit ribosomal RNA", at positions 1213 to 1800 of the family's 1831-position model. Lineage: Eukaryota; Ciliophora; Litostomatea; Cyclotrichida; Mesodiniidae. The record is from RNAcentral.
ACUUACCAGGUCAAGACAUGGGCGUGAUUGACAGGCUAAUGACUUUUCUCGAUUCCAUGGAUGGUGGUGCAUGGUCGCACUUAGUUGGUGCAGUGAUUUGUCAGGUUUAUUCCGGUAACGAACGAGACCUCGGCCUUGUAAAUAGCUAUGCUGCUUACAGGGACAUUGGCGGCUACGCCAAGGAAGCUCGAGGCAAUUGCAGAUCUGGAAUGCCCUUAGAUGUCCUGGGUCGCACGCGUGCUACAAUGACGCCACGAACGAGCUUGCGUGAUGAAAGUUACGCAUAAUCAGCAGUCGGCGUCUUAAGGGAUAGUCUCUUGUAACUGUGGGACUCCAACUAGGAAUGUCUCGUAAGCACAAGUCAACAUCUUGUGUUGAUUACGUCCCUGCUCUUUGUACACACCGCCCGUCGCUCCUACCGAUCGAGUGUUUAGGUGAACUUGAUGGACGUAAGGAAGUCAAAUAAACCUGAGCACUAGAGAAGAGAAGUCGAGCAUGUU